This 253-nucleotide ribosomal RNA is filed under the name uncultured bacterium. RNAcentral describes it as "partial 16S ribosomal RNA". It matches the Rfam family "Bacterial small subunit ribosomal RNA", at positions 524 to 776 of the family's 1533-position model. The record is from RNAcentral.
UACGUAGGGGGCUAGCGUUGUCCGGAAUCAUUGGGCGUAAAGCGCGUGUAGGCGGUCCGGUAAGUCCGCUGUGAAAGUCGGGGGCUCAACCCUCGAAUGCCGGUGGAUACUGUCGGGCUAGAGUGCGGAAGAGGCGAGUGGAAUUCCUGGUGUAGCGGUGAAAUGCGCAGAUAUCAGGAGGAACACCGGUGGCGAAGGCGGGUCUCUGGGCCGAUACUGACGCUGAGACGCGAAAGCGUGGGGAGCGAACAGG